UUUGAAACAGGGUCUCACUCCAUCGCCCAGGCUGGAGUGCAGUGGCGUGAUGACAAUCACAGCUCACUGUAGCUUCAACCUCCCCAACUCAAGUGAAUCUUCCACCUCAGCCGCUGGAAUAGGAGUAUGUAUGUAAAGAGAAUGGUCCAACAAAGAUGGAGAAACUGAUGACAUAGGGUAUGGAGAAGGGAAAAAUGAAGAGGCUGGGUCUUGGAGAAAGCAAGAGGGGAUGAGACCCAGAUGUCAGGCAGAAGAAAUUGUGGGCAGUGAGAACAGAAUAAUGGAGAUAAUGAAGAAUAAUGGAGAAGGCAGAGAAGAUGAAGAUGGAUGCAGUGACGUGUAGAUAUUUUGAAUUAUUGGCCUGCCUCUAAGAAGUCUUGCACUGAUACUGAUAGUUCAGCGCUGUCACCUUUCCACCACCUGCGCCACGUACAGCGACAGAAGCUUUUCCUUAACUCUGCCAGAUGCUCAGGCUCAAUCUUCCCUGUGGACUUUUGGAUGUUUGGGUAAUGUGAAAGGUGGUUGUUUUCUUUAUUUGAUCAGGGCACAAGCAGUGUCUGGACUCACUUGGUCAGUUCUGGAUUUUUGUGGAAGGAAAACCCUCAUCAGAUUCUGAUGGGAGGGGUGAGGGUAGCUCCUGGGAAGAGAAGACAGACAGUUUUCAUUCUCACAAUGGCUGAGAUGUUCGAGAUGGGUGCCUCAGGUGCCCAGGUUCUGAGACGAUGCCCUUAGGUCCCUCGGGGUGUCCAUGUGCACAAUGGCUCCUUGUUUCUGUAUAUGAAACAUGAUCAGAUUUGACCUUCAUUACCCUUAAAUUUUUCUCUCAUAUUUUUUCUUUCUGUGUAACUUUGGAAGAAUCUUUUUCUAUUUUCUGGAUAAAAAUCCCUCAUUCUCCUGCAUUUUAGGUUUUAUUUCAGAAGUAUGCCACUAGAUAGUGGUCUCUAAGGGAUUCAUCAUUUAGUAAAAGUGUCUAAGCAGGCACCUGUAGUGUAUGCAUAAUUUUAUAAUUAAAUGCGUAUUCAUAUCUGCAUGUAUUUGUAUAUAUGCAAAUAAUAUAUUUGCAUAUGUGCCUAUUUAUGUAUUUGUGUAUAUGCAUAAUUCAUACAUAAU
RNAcentral lists this long non-coding RNA (1110 nucleotides) under Homo sapiens (human). Its description in RNAcentral is "HSALNT0134252". The record is from RNAcentral. Lineage: Eukaryota; Metazoa; Chordata; Mammalia; Primates; Hominidae.